UACAGAGAGUGCAAACGUUGUUCGGAAUUACUGGGCUUAAAGCGCACGUAGGCGGCAUCGCAAGUGUGGGGUGAAAUCCCACGGCUUACCCGUGGAACUGCCUGGCAGACUGCGGUGCUAGAGUGUGGUAGGGGAGAGCGGAACUCCUGGUGGAGCGGUGAAAUGCGUAGAUAUCAGGAGGAACACCGGUGGCGAAGGCGGCUCUCUGGUCCACAACUGACGCUGAGGUGCGAAAGCUAGGGGAGCAAACGGG
RNAcentral lists this ribosomal RNA (253 nucleotides) under uncultured bacterium. RNAcentral describes it as "partial 16S ribosomal RNA". It matches the Rfam family "Bacterial small subunit ribosomal RNA", at positions 524 to 776 of the family's 1533-position model. The record is from RNAcentral.